Molecule: long non-coding RNA, 1398 nt
Organism: Homalodisca vitripennis (glassy-winged sharpshooter)
Lineage: Eukaryota; Metazoa; Arthropoda; Insecta; Hemiptera; Cicadellidae
Exons: 3
Source: RefSeq, a predicted model, not a curated record
CUGGACUGUACACUCAACGCCGUUGUUUAGCAAUUUCCCUCCCAGAAAUCGCCUUUUAAACGAAAUCUUAAUUCCUUCACGUUUUGACACUUUAUUCUCUUUUAAGUGUUAUUGUAUUUAAACUACAUUGAUUAAUAAUCCAACCAAACGAACUCUCUUUUAGCUGAAAGAGCAGAGACAGGAAAAACUUGGAUUGCUUAUGUUAUCGAAUGACUAUUACUUUGCUGCUCUUAGCCUCAAAGUGAGGUUAUGAUUUUGAGGUUCAUAUGUGGUAGUUUUAAUAUUUUUUUUUUUAACUCAGUCCCGUUAAUUGUCUUGAUGUGGUAUUAGGAAACAGGAUUGUUGAGGCCUGCAAUCAAAUACCACUGCAGACUUUUCAAUACGUGAGAGAGGAGCUCACCCUAUGCUUGUCACACAAAUCAGGUGCCUCCAAAGCCCCUACCUAAUACCAACUUGCCGACUUUGAUAGCACUACAAGCAUCUGCUCCAAAUCACCACUACUACCUGCCGUGGCAUCACCACUCACCAACACAUUCAUUCUGGCAGCAGCACUAGUACCUCCUCCCACUGCACACCACCAUUUAUGCUCUUUUAACCACACCAGCACUCCUUCUCAUAGCACUACCAAUAUCUAACAUACCCAAUACCAAUAGCUCGCCCUUCCUAUAGCUUUUCCAGCAUCCACCUAGUCAACCAAUGCGAAGAACAGUAUAACAUGUUUAUUAUUUAAGUUAGAUUAGAUUUGGUUAGAUUAGAUUAGGUUAGGUUAGAUUAAGUUAGGUUAGAUUAGGUUAGGUUAGAUUAGAUUAGGUUAGAUUAGAUUAGAUUAGAUUAUGUUAGGUUAGGUUAGGUUAAUUUAGGUUUCCUUGUUUAAAGUUUGUUAUUGACAAUGGAAAUUUGAAAGGUUUACAGGAUUCAGGUUUAUCUGUCAUGGAUUGUUAAAUUGGUUAUACCAUUGAAAUAUGAAUAAAUGAACUGUUCCAGGUGGUUAACCCAAAACUGUAUUUGUGUUCUAAUGAAAGAGUAUGUGUGUAUUUCCUGUCAUGGUACCAGUUUCCUCUGCUGUGAAAGGGUCUGUUCCAACAUAACCACAUUGGAAUACAUUAUUCUAGUCAACCAAUGCCCUGUCUGAAAUAACGUGAAGAACAGCAUAUCCUUGUUAAAUUGCUUAAUACCUUGGAAAUAAAUAAAUAAGAGUGGUACCCCAAAGCUAUAUGUGUUAUUCUAAUGAAAGGGUAUAUGUGUAUUUCCUGUUCCGGUUCCAGGUUCAUCUGACGUGAAACGGGUUGUUCCAUCAAAGCUCACUGUGUAAAUUUAUUAGUAGUUAUGGAUUUUUAGAGUAUAUUUUAUAUUUAGUCAUAGUAUGAUUUUGGGAAAUAAAUUUUUGUUUUCCUUGAA